This 259-nucleotide ribosomal RNA is filed under the name uncultured bacterium. RNAcentral describes it as "partial 16S ribosomal RNA". It matches the Rfam family "Bacterial small subunit ribosomal RNA", at positions 524 to 783 of the family's 1533-position model. The record is from RNAcentral.
UACAUGGGGUGCAAACGUUGCUCGGAAUUAUUGGGCGUAAAGCGCACGUAGGCGGUUCGUUAAGUCGGAUGUGAAGCCCUCGGCUCAACUGAGGAAGUGCACCCGAAACUGGCGAGCUUGAGUACGAAAGAGGAUCGCGGAAUUCCCGGUGUAGAGGUGAAAUUCGUAGAUAUCGGGAGGAACACCGGUGGCGAAGGCGGCGAUCUGGUCGAUACUGACGCGUGAGGUGCGAAAGCGUGGGGAGCAACAGGAUUAAGAU